AAAGCUUUCUUGACUUUUCUUUCCUCCAGCAGAGCUCCCUGCCCAGUCUAAGCACAAACUUCAUUGUACUCUCAAAAUUCCCAAAUUGCCACAGAGAAAGCAAUGGCUAGUUAUCGUCACCUCAAUCUGGAACGGUGCUCCACUCUCUACAAUUUCCUUUUAUCUUCAUUGCUUUCAAUGCCCUAUUAUCCCUUAAAAAUAAGUUUUUUUCAGUUUCUUCAUUUUUUUCUAGUUGUGGAAAAGAGAUCAUUGGCCUGUCAUGAUCUUCUACGUCCUCCUCAGAAGUGGAAGUCCUCGGAUACUUCUCAAGCGUUAAAAGAAGCAUUACUAGUUCCUAUUUUUACCAACUGUGAACCAGGCCCACAUGCAGAAAGGGA
This 377-nucleotide long non-coding RNA is filed under the name Equus caballus (horse). RNAcentral's name for it is "lncRNA (ENSECAG00000041117.2)". Lineage: Eukaryota; Metazoa; Chordata; Mammalia; Perissodactyla; Equidae. The record is from RNAcentral.